Molecule: ribosomal RNA, 1495 nt
Filed under: uncultured bacterium
Lineage: Bacteria
Description: 16S ribosomal RNA
Rfam family: Bacterial small subunit ribosomal RNA
Source: RNAcentral
UUGAUCCUGGCUCAGGAUGAACGCUAGCGGCGUGCCUAAUGCAUGCAAGUCGAACGGGAUUCUUCGACUUCGGUUGGAGAUGAGAGUGGCGAACGGGUGAGUAACACGUAGGUGACCUGCCCUCGGGAGGGGGACAACCAGUGGAAACGCUGGCUAAUACCCCGGAUGUCAAUCUAGUUAGAGAGGAUUGACUAAAGCUCCGGUGCCCGAGGAGGGGCCUGCGACCCAUCAGCUAGUUGGUAGGGUAAAAGCCUACCAAGGCCGAGACGGGUAGGAGGCGUGAGAGCGUGGCCCCCCACACUGGUACUGACACACGGACCAGAUACCUACGGGUAGCAGCAGCAAGGAAUAUUGCGCAAUGGGCGAAAGCCUGACGCAGCAACGCCGCGUGGAGGAUGAAGGCCUUCGGGUUGUAAACUCCUUUUCUGGGGGAAGAGAGCGGACGGUACCCCAGGAAUAAGGCCCGGCUAACUACGUGCCAGCAGCCGCGGUAAAACGUAGGGUCAAGCGUUAUCCGGAAUUACUGGGCGUAAAGGGCGCGUAGCGGUUGCCAAAGUUGGACGUGAAAGCUCCUGGCUCAACUGGGAGAGGCCGUUCAAAACUAGGCGACUAAGGAUGGUAAGGCAAGUGGAAUUCCCGGUGUANUUGGUUAAAUGCGUAGAUAUUCGGGAGAACACCAUGUGGCGAAGGCGGCUCGCUGGCCCAUAACUGACGCUGAAGGCGCGAAAGCCAGGGGAGAAGAACGGGAUUAGAAACCCCCGGUAUUCCUGCCGUAAACGAUGUCAACUAAGUGUAGAGAGCCGAACAGGCUAGCUGUGCUGAAGCAAACGCGAUAAGUUGACCGCCUGGGGAGUACGGCCGCAAGGCUAAAACUCAAAGGAAUUGACGGGGGCCCGCACAAGCAGCGGAGCGUGUGGUUUAAUUCGAGGCUACGCGAAGAACCUUACCAGGGUUUGACAUGUACGUGGUAGGUAUUGGAAACAAUGCUGACCCUUCGGGGAGCGUACACAGGUGCUGCAUGGCUGUCGUCAGCUCGUGCCGUGAGGUGUUAGGUUAAGUCCUGUAACGAGCGCAACCCUCGUCGUUAGUUACAAGUGUCUAACGAGACUGCCGGUGAUAAGCCGGAGGAAGGUGGGGAUGACGUCAAGUCAGCAUGGCCUAUAUAUCCUGGGCUACACACACGCUACAAUGGCCGGUACAAUGGGCAGCGAAGUCGCGAGACGGAGCCAAUCCUGAAAAGCCGGUCUCAGUUCGGAUUGCAGGCUGCAACUCGCCUGCAUGAAGUCGGAGUUGCUAGUAAACGCGCGUCGGCCACAGUGCGUUGAAUACGUUCCCGGGCCUUGUACACACCGCCCGUCACGUCAUGGAAGUUGGCAACGCCUGAAGUCGGUGGGCUAACCCUAACGGGAGGCAGCCGCCUAAGGCGGGGUCGGUAACUGGGACGAAGUCGUAACAAGGUAGCUGUAGCGGAAGCUGCGGCUGGAUCACCUCCUUA